AUUGAACGCUGGCGGCAGGCCUAACACAUGCAAGUCGAGCGGCUGAAGGGCGCUUGCUCCUCGAUUCAGCGGCGGACGGGUGAGUAAUGCCUCGGAAUCUGCCCGGUCGUGGGGGAUAACGUCCGGAAACGGGCGCUAAUACCGCAUACGACCUGCGGGAGAAAGCGGGGGAUCUUCGGACCUCACGCUAUAGGAUGAGCCUAGGCCGGAUUAGCUAGUUGGUGGGGUAAAGGCCCACCAAGGCGACGAUCGGUAGCUGGUCUGAGAGGAUGAUCAGCCACACUGGAACUGAGACACGGUCCAGACUCCUACGGGAGGCAGCAGUGGGGAAUAUUGGACAAUGGGCGCAAGCCUGAUCCAGCCAUGCCGCGUGUGUGAAGAAGGUCUUCGGAUUGUAAAGCACUUUAAGUUGGGAGGAAGGGCAGUAAGUUAAUACCUUGCUGUUUUGACGUUACCAACAGAAUAAGCACCGGCUAACUUCGUG
This 484-nucleotide ribosomal RNA is filed under the name uncultured bacterium. RNAcentral's name for it is "partial 16S ribosomal RNA". It matches the Rfam family "Bacterial small subunit ribosomal RNA", at positions 30 to 507 of the family's 1533-position model. The record is from RNAcentral.